Molecule: ribosomal RNA, 393 nt
Filed under: Klebsiella pneumoniae
Lineage: Bacteria; Pseudomonadati; Pseudomonadota; Gammaproteobacteria; Enterobacterales; Enterobacteriaceae
Description: bacterial SSU rRNA
Rfam family: Bacterial small subunit ribosomal RNA
Source: RNAcentral
CAAAGGAGACUGCCAGUGAUAAACUGGAGGAAGGUGGGGAUGACGUCAAGUCAUCAUGGCCCUUACGACCAGGGCUACACACGUGCUACAAUGGCAUAUACAAAGAGAAGCGACCUCGCGAGAGCAAGCGGACCUCAUAAAGUAUGUCGUAGUCCGGAUUGGAGUCUGCAACUCGACUCCAUGAAGUCGGAAUCGCUAGUAAUCGUAGAUCAGAAUGCUACGGUGAAUACGUUCCCGGGCCUUGUACACACCGCCCGUCACACCAUGGGAGUGGGUUGCAAAAGAAGUAGGUAGCUUAACCUUCGGGAGGGCGCUUACCACUUUGUGAUUCAUGACUGGGGUGAAGUCGUAACAAGGUAACCGUAGGGGAACCUGCGGUUGGAUCACCUCCUU